AGGACGAACGCUGGCGGCGUGCUUAACACAUGCAAGUCGAGCGGUAAGGCCUCCUUCGGGGGGUACACGAGCGGCGAACGGGUGAGUAACACGUGGGUGACCUGCCCUCAGCUCUGGGAUAAGCCUGGGAAAACCGGGUCUAAUACCGGAUGGGACUGCUUGCCGCAUGGUGGGUGGUGGAAAGUUUUUUUCGGCUGGGGAUGGGCCCGCGGCCUAUCAGCUUGUUGGUGGGUGAUGGCCUACCAAGGCGGUGACGGGUA
This 260-nucleotide ribosomal RNA is filed under the name uncultured bacterium. RNAcentral describes it as "partial small subunit ribosomal RNA". It matches the Rfam family "Bacterial small subunit ribosomal RNA", at positions 26 to 285 of the family's 1533-position model. The record is from RNAcentral.